Long non-coding RNA from Lytechinus variegatus (green sea urchin), 1623 nucleotides. RefSeq lists it as uncharacterized. The record is from RefSeq and is a predicted model, not a curated record. The transcript has 3 exons. Lineage: Eukaryota; Metazoa; Echinodermata; Echinoidea; Temnopleuroida; Toxopneustidae.
ACUCAGAGCAGACACAAUAUACAUGAAAAAAUAAAGUAAUAUUUAUUCUAAAAUUCAUUCCCAUGUGUAUAAAAGUUCCACAAUAAUUACAUUCAGUAUUCACAAGUCAUUAUUAUUGGAACAUUUGUAUUUACAAUCAAAGCUGCUUUAGAGAUCAUCUGUCUACAAUAUCUUAUUGACUCUAUAAGAUUGAAAUUCAAAUUCAACUUCAUUACUACAAUUUAAAAAUAUACAAAUAUACAAAAUAAUUUACAAAAAUAGGAAUUAUACUUGUGGAGGGGUCAAAUUCAGCAUAACUGCUUCUAUAAAUUGAAUCCAUAAUAAAUAUCAAAUCAAUACGUGUAAAAAAAUUUACACCAAAGGUAACAAUAUGAACAUACAAACUGAAAGACGACAUAUUUUUAUCAUUUGUAUUUUAUGGUUUAUUAUUGAGCUACACAGCUGAAACCCCUGCUGGUGAUACACUUAUUUCUUUUAUUCUUUUUUACUAUAUCCCUUUCUCCAUUUUGGUUUACUAGUGCUUGAAAAAAUACAGGGGAGCUACCCUUUGAAGCACCGUCCUUGAUAAUAAGUGUGUAUCCUUGUAUAUCAUUGAAACAUGUAUUACAAGACCCUGUUCAUAUAAAGACUAUCCUAUUACAAAGACUACUUCUCUCUAUUGUUUGAUAUCUAUAUACAGGUUUUACUGUACCAUGAUACUGUAUAUCAUUGAAACAUGUAUUACAAGACCCUGUUCAUAUAAAGACUAUCCCAUUACAAAGACUACUUCUCUAUAUUGUUUGAUAUCUAUAUACAGGUUUUACUGUACCAUGAUACUGUAUAUCAUUGAAACAUGUAUUACAAGACCCUGUUCAUAUAAAGACUAUCCUAUUACAAAGACUACUUCUCUCUAUUGUUUGAUAUCUAUAUACAGGUUUUACUAUACCAUGAUACUGUAUAUCAUUGAAACAUGUAUUACAAGACCCUGUUCAUAUAAAGACUACUUCUCUCUAUUGUUUGAUAUCUAUAUACAGGUUUUACUGUACCAUGAUACUGUAUAUCAUUGAAACAUGUAUUACAAGACCCUGUUCAUAUAAAGACUACUUCUCUCUAUUGUUUGAUAUCUAUAUACAGGUUUUACUGUACCAUGAUACUGUAUAUCAUUGAAACAUGUAUUACAAGACCCUGUUCAUAUAAAGACUAUCCUAUUACAAAGACUACUUCUCUCUAUUGUUUGAUAUCUAUAUACAGGUUUUACUGUACCAUGAUACUGUAUAUCAUUGAAACAUGUAUUACAAGACCCUGUUCAUAUAAAGACUAUCCUAUUACAAAGACUACUUCUCUCUAUUGUUUGAUAUCUAUAUACAGGUUUUACUGUACCAUGAUACUGUAUAUCAUUGAAACAUGUAUUACAAGACCCUGUUCAUAUAAAGACUAUCCUAUUAUAAAGACUACUUCUCUCUAUUGUUUGAUAUCUAUAUACAGGUUUUACUGUACCAUGAUACUGUGUAUCAUUGAAACAUGUAUUACAAGACCCUGUUCAUAUAAAGACUAUCCUAUUAUAAAGACUACUUCUCUCUAUUGUUUGAUAUCUAUAUACAGGUUUUACUGUACCAUGAUACUGUAUAUCAUUGAAACAUGUAU